Molecule: long non-coding RNA, 6501 nt
Organism: Bacillus rossius redtenbacheri
Lineage: Eukaryota; Metazoa; Arthropoda; Insecta; Phasmatodea; Bacillidae
Exons: 4
Source: RefSeq, a predicted model, not a curated record
CAUCGACAAACGAUAACGAAAGAAAUUUACAGUCUGGGUUAAUCAUAGAGUACAAAUAAACAUACGGAAUAAAAUAUAAUUAAAUUAAAUAGAUAUUAAAGGAAAUUAAAUAUUUACUUUCUAUAAAGUGUAAAUAUUGCCUUUAUAGAACGAUGAAGAAAAGGCUACGGUACUCGUCUUGGCCCUGCGAGGAUCUCCACUAGAGCUGCUGCAGACCAUGCCAGUUACAGACUAGAAAUACUAGAGAGUAUUGGUAAAGACCCUCGAGCUGAGGUAUGGCGACCGACACAUGGGCUAGGUGUAUAGAACAGCCCUGAAGACAUGUCAGCGAUCUUCUGAAACACUCCAAGAAUUCGAAGUCGACAUUGAGCGACUCGUCCACCUCGCCUACCAAGAAGCACCAACGGAGUUCCGCCAGCAGCUAGCCACCAGUGGUUUUAUAGACGGGCUAAGAGAUGUGGAGCUUCAGCAAACUCUUAGGUUGGCCCGCCACAAAAACAUUCGCGAUGAUCUUGUUCACGCCCUGGAAAUCGAAGGUGCCUGCAUUGCCACAAGUUUAAACAUAUUUAUUCUUAGAAAGCAAACUACUGUAAACUAACUAAUUUAACAUUGUUACAUGCGUUUUUACAUAUAAGGCAUGUUAUUAAAGGCUUGGUUUGUUGAAAAUUACAAUUAAUAGUUAACUAACAUAACUAAUUCAGAGUUGGUGUUUUUAUAAACAAUAAUCGCAAACAAAUUUUCCUCCUUCAAAGUUCGAGCAGUCCUCAUGCCACCAUAUGUGGCAUUUGCAACACUCGAUCCAAUCUUCUGAUGGAGGGUCGACAUAAAUCUCAUCACACGCAAGACACUGCACUUCGGAUAUUUGAGCUGAAGUCAUGCCUGGCGAAAGUUGGAGCUUCUUGGAUUUUUCUCGAGAAUCGAACUUCAGUUUCUUAGUAACAGUUCUUUUUUUGCAUCUCAAGACUCAUGUCUUUAUUGCUUCAAACGUUCUUGUUCUAUCCUCUGAGCUUUGCUCUGAACCAGCAUCGCUUUCAUAGGUGAGCUUGUGAUGACACUUGCACAUUGCUUAUGACUUAUCCUUUUUCUCACAUAUGAUCUUUCUUUAGGCAAUGGUUUGAAAUCGAAAACACUUCGGCACAGUUUUGGCUCAACAGGAGUAGCAUUUCUUAUAGGCCCUAUCUUAAUGAGAGUAGCAUUUCUUGAAAGUCCUGGCUCAACGGGAGUAGAAUUUCUUGAAGGUCCUGGCUCAAUGGAAGCUGCGGGAGAAGUAUUUAUUGAAGGUCCUGGCUCAAUCGGAGAAAUAUUUCUUGAAGAUCCUGGUUUAAUGGAAAUGUCAUUUCUUGAAGGUCCUGGCUCAAUGGGAGUAGCAUUUCUUAAUGGUCCUGGCUCAAUGGAAUUAGCAUUUCUUGAAGGUCCUGGUUCUUCAGUUUUCUCUGCCUGAUGUUCAUUAACUGCUUUUUCCAUAGCAAGAUCAUGAUCGGUGGGGUUCGCUGCAGCUAAAUCAUGCUCGGCAAACACAAGGGGAUCAUAAGGUUCGAUUCCACAUUCUCGGAACCCAUUGACUGCAUUACCGACUGUAGCUGCUUUUAAAUAAGCAGUGCUUAGUAGCUCACCAAUUUUUUUGUCAGUUAUGGCUUGCCCUGGAUUAGUGACCAUUAAGUUGUCACAAGCUUGACUGUAAUAGGUUUUUAAUGGCCCAAAAAAAGGAAACAUCCAGCAUUUGAAGACGAUGGGUAGUUUGGGGUGUAAAUCUGACCAUAACGAUGUGCUUUCCCCGCAAAAGUUUAUAGCCUCCAGUGUUACGUGUGUUUUAUGGUUGUCAACAAGCAACAGCACGUGAAAUUCACUGGUUGGUUUCACAUGUAGUUCGAAAUGUUUCAAAAACAACACAAAUAUUUCUCCAUUGCUCCAACCAUUAUCACUGCAAUGUCCAACGGUUCCCGGAGGGGCUCUUUCCACAAGUUCAGGUCGCAUCCGUUUUCUUGCGAAAACCAAAAAAGGGGGCAGGUAAUAUCCGCAAGCAUUAAUGCAACAAAUAAUAGUAACAUUUCUUCCUCUCUCUGCCGAAACGAUCUUGGAAACACUCUUACUUCCUGUGGGUGAAAUAACCUUUGGUAGCCUAUUAGAUACAGUGGAAAGUGCAGAUUCAUCUGCAUUAUAAAUGGCAGAAGCUGGAAAUCUAUGUUUUUCCCGCACUUAUUUCAAAAUUAAGAAAAACUUGUCAACAUUUGGUUUGUUAAAGCCCAUUGCUCUGGCAAUGGAUGUUUCCUCUGGUCUCCGAAAACUGAACUAACAUUUUUUCAUAAAACUAGCCAACCAAUCCUCACCUGCCAUCCUGGUCUCCACAUUGAACGGAUGCGAAAUUCCACUAUAUCCUGCAAAGUAAAACACAAGUUUUCUACAUUGCUGCUUUGUCAUCCCAAAAAACAUGUUAUCCAUUGCUGUCGAGUAGUUCCUUAAAUAUUCUAGCUGCUCUUCAGUGAAAACUUCUCUAAAUCUUCCACCAUGAAUAGGCAUUUCCUAGGAAGAAAAUACAAUUAGGUAGGCUAAAUACUUUUUAAUUUGAAUUUUUGUUUAAUGAAAGCCUGUAGGGCAUGAACAAUUAAAAAACAACUGUAAAAAAGCACUUGGGGCAAGAUGACGAGUCGUCAUCUUGCCCCAGUCAACUUGCCCCGAUCAGCAAUGUUAUUAGUAUUGGAUUUUUUCGCUAGGAAAUAAUAUAAAAGGUUAACAAUAUAUAGUGGUUAAGAAAAGUAUAUUGUCUAAGGUAAUAAUGUGUGGCAUUGAAUAACCAAAUAUCUUACCUGUUUGUCCAUGAGAUAUUACUUCGAAGUUCUUGAAAAUUACAAUACGUCAGACCAAAUGUACGAACAUCAUCUAACAAACAACUAAAUGGUGGCAGCGGCUUCACUGUACGAUUAUUUAGUGCCCACCAGUGUGGAGCGCUAGUAGUGUCUGUUAGGUGGUGCUAUCUAAUAACAUGACGUGGAACUGUCAUUCGUCGUUUUGCCCCGCUCGUAAACUUGCCCCGUCCUCCCCUACAUCAUAUAGGAAAAUUUGUAAAUAUUAUGCUAGAAAUUCGGGAAAAGGCCCAAAAUUAAUCAAAUAAUUUGUAUAUUUUAAUAAAAAAUGAUAGGUUCGAAAAAAUAAAACACGGCAAUUACAAAACAGACACACAGUACAUACAACAACACACAUUACACACAAACAGCUCACUACAAAUAGUCCACACAAACACACACAGAACACACAGGACAAACUGUUAACAUAGAACAAACAGUACAUACAAAUGACACACUUACACUCAAAUUGCACACAAUACACACAGUACAAAGGGAGCACAGGCAGUAUAAAAGCCAGCACAGACAGAACAGACAGUAUAAAAGAUAGCACAGGCAGCACAAAAGGCAGCACAGGUAGAAUAAACUGCAGCACAGGCAGCACAAGCAGCACAAACGGCUACACACACAGCACUACCGGCAGCACAGGCAGCACAGUCAUCACAAACAGCAGCAGUGGCAGCACAAAGAACGCUCAGGUACACUCCAGGCAAACUCAACGGAUGCUCAGGAACACUCAAAGGACGCUCAGAUACACUCAGAGCAAACUCAACUGACGUUCAGGAACACUCAAAGUACACUCAAAGGACGCUCAGGUACACUAAAAGUGCGCUCAACGGUUGCUCACAGGAACACUCAAUUAUGCUCAAAGGACGCUCAGGUACAUUCCAAGCACACUCAAUGGGCGCUCAGGAACACUCAAAGUACGCUGAAAGGACGUUCACGUUAACUCCAAGCACACUCAAUGAGUGCUCAGGAACGCUCACAGUAUGCUUAACAGAUGCUCAGGUACUCUCCAAGCACACUCAACGGACGCUCAGGUACACUGCAAGCACACUUUACGGACGUUCAGAGAACACUCAAAGUAUGCUCAGGAACACCCAAAGUGCACUCAACGAUUGCUCAGGAACACUCAAAGUGCACUCAACGGAUGCUCAGGAACACACAAAGUACACUCAAAGGACGCACAGAUACACACAAAGUACACAUAAAGGACACACAAAGGACACGCAGCUUUAAAAUUUCCAAUAGCUUGCAUAGGUCUAACUGCCCAAGUACUCCAACUGCCCAAGUGCUCUAACUGCGACAUAAUUUGACUACCAAAUUAUGCAACUUCGAGACAGCGCCACGAAGAUACGAAACUUCGAGGCUGAUUUCCACGUAACGCUGUGACAACGAGAUUUACGAUCACGAAGUUACGCGACUAUGAGAUGUAUAGGAUCUCGCUGCUACCUAGCUACAAAAUUUAGAAACUAUAUGGCCACGAUACUUCGUCGUUGCAAGACUACGAGUCUGCAAGGCUCCGACUGGAGCCAGGUCUACAGGGACACAAGGCUACAUGAUUAGGUGGAUACAUGGCUACGAAAUUUCUUGGCUACAUGGUUACUUGGCUACCUAGCUACGUGAUUAUAAGACUUAGGAUAGCGAAGCUAAGCGACUACGAGACUUCGGGUGGCUUCAAGAGUCGUUCCGAGAAUUCUCCGAGUGUGAGUGGAGUUUGAGCCGAGGAAUUUUCAUUGCACAGUCGAGAACGGAGUAAAAACGAAGUAAUACCCGAAUGAAACCGAGUAAACCGAGUAAAAACGAAGGAAUAUUGGAGUGUACGCGCAGCUACACUCCGAGGGCCCUCGGAGUGCCCUCGGAGUGAAAUAUGGAAAAAAAAUUCAAUAUGGCUGCGUUUUUAGAACCAAUUGUUGUGGAAUUUCUUGAUUUAAUUGAUGAAGUAUUUCUAGAAAAUGAAGAAAGAAACGUUGUCAGGGACCCACGUCGGUAUUUGAGGGAUUUUAAAAAUCCACUGGAGUGGUUUAGUGACGUGCAGUUCAAACGACGAUAUCGUUUUACCAAGGAUGUUGUUAGGCAUCACAUUCUGCCUUUGCUAGUGUUUGAAGAACCACGGAGUCGUCGAGGAUUACCGCUACCGCCUGUCCUGCAGCUGCUAAAUGCCUUGCGAUUUUACGCAACAGGCAGUUUCCAGGUAAGCAGUCAGAAAUCAAUACCUUUUGUUUACAGUAAUACCAUCUCUCACUCUUUGCCUAGGUUAGCCUAUUGUGCACUUCAGUAUGUGGUGUUUAAUUUGUGGUUUGCAUAGGCACAUAUCGGUGCAAUGUGAAAUACUAUUUACGGAUGAUGACAGGCGGUAGCGAGUCCACAGUUUCCCGAAUUAACAGACGUAUCUCUGUCGGUUUAGCGCAACAUACACGACAUCUUAUACGGUUUCCCACUGGCGAUGAAUUUCGAUUGAACAAGCUACGAUAACACUUUCCCGGUGUUACAGGAGUGACUGCACCCACAUUAAAAUCAAAAGCUCCGGCGGUGCUCGGGGAGAAGUAUACAGAAAAGGAUAGCGCAAGUUGUUGCUGGGGCUUCCAUGGAAAUAUUCGAUAUCGUGUGUCGCUGGCCUGGCAGCGCACAUGAUAGUCGAAUAUUUAACAGCAGUGGGCUGAAAGUCAAAUUUGAAGAUGGGCGUGUGCAGGGACUGCUGCUGGGAGACGGUGGUUACCCACAGUUGCAAUACCUGUUCACGUACAGAUGCAGAGCAGAGGUACAACAUGGCUCAUGCUCGGACGAGGAAUCUGGUGGAAAGGAUGUUCGGUGUUUGGAAGCAGCGCUUUCCCUGCUUGCAGCUUACUUUUACGAAACAAGCUGCAGACAACAGCAGCUAUCAUAGUUGCCUGUGCCAUAUGUCACAACAUUGGUAUCAGGCACAUUGAUUAUGUGGAAGAAGCUGAGCUGCAGGCAACAAUGAUGUGCAAAUCCCACCAGUUCCUCCCCGACCUGGGCGCGCAUGGCCAUCAGGAACGAGUUCAUCAUCCGGCAUUUCAGUUAGCUGCUUUGAAAUGAUUUUUACACACAUUGUUUCAUGUGGGUUUUUGAAAUCCGUGACCUUGAUCGUACCGUUUAAUAAUAGUUUUGUUUGGCUGGAAUUAAUAUUUUAUGAUUUUUGCACUCAGUGUUAUGGCUACUAAUGAAUAAUUCAAUGAUAUCUUCAUUUGUUGCUAAGCCAUUCCAUUGCAGUUUCUUUAAUCCUUCACAUACCUACAGGCUCUGGCAUGUUGUUUCCAACUUGUAAACAAAUAUCAAUUAAAUGAAGAAAUUUUACAUGAACUUUCUAAUAAUGCAGCCUUCUACAAAUGUCUGAGUAAAGAGGUACAUUUGUUUAUAUUUUUCCUUUUCGAUUCUUUUGUAUUAUAACUUGAUAAAAUAAGGUAAGUGCACCGAAUAUGGCCUGUUUCCCUAAUAUGGCCUAUUUACAGAAAAAAUACUUAGUUCAGAAAAAUCCAGCAGGUAGCACCACUGUACAGCAGAUAGUAUCGAAUGCUUCCAACUAACGGCAAGAGAAAGCGCCAAGGGCACAAUGACUCGCUACAGGACGUUCUUAUUGUGUUUUUAGAAGUUGGUUUACUAAGCCAUCUUAUUUACUAAUGAAAUGAAAAAAUAAAUU